This 173-nucleotide ribosomal RNA is filed under the name uncultured Ascomycota. RNAcentral's name for it is "partial 18S ribosomal RNA". It matches the Rfam family "Eukaryotic small subunit ribosomal RNA", at positions 1661 to 1831 of the family's 1831-position model. Lineage: Eukaryota; Fungi; Ascomycota. The record is from RNAcentral.
UGUACACACCGCCCGUCGCUACUACCGAUUGAACGGCUUAGUGAGGUCUUCGGAUUGGCUUUGGGGACCCGGCAACGGGACCUCAUUGCUGAGAAGUUGAUCAAACUUGGUCGUUUAGAGGAAGUAAAAGUCGUAACAAGGUUUCCGUAGGUGAACCUGCGGAAGGAUCAUUA